UCUGACAGCAGUAGCGUGCAGGAUGACGGCCCUAUGGGUUGUAAACUGCUUUUGUAUGGGGAUAAAGUUAGGGACGUGUCCCUAUUUGCAGGUACCAUACGAAUAAGGACCGGCUAAUUCCGUGCCAGCAGCCGCGGUAAUACGGAAGGUCCAGGCGUUAUCCGGAUUUAUUGGGUUUAAAGGGAGCGUAGGCUGGAGAUUAAGUGUGUUGUGAAAUGUAGACGCUCAACGUCUGAAUUGCAGCGCAUACUGGUUUCCUUGAGUACGCACAACGUUGGCGGAAUUCGUCGUGUAGCGGUGAAAUGCUUAGAUAUGACGAAGAACUCCGAUUGCGAAGGCAGCUGACGGGAGCGCAACUGACGCUUAAGCUCGAAGGUGCGGGUAUCAAACA
RNAcentral lists this ribosomal RNA (391 nucleotides) under Prevotella melaninogenica. Its description in RNAcentral is "bacterial SSU rRNA". It matches the Rfam family "Bacterial small subunit ribosomal RNA", at positions 382 to 774 of the family's 1533-position model. Lineage: Bacteria; Pseudomonadati; Bacteroidota; Bacteroidia; Bacteroidales; Prevotellaceae. The record is from RNAcentral.